This 252-nucleotide ribosomal RNA is filed under the name uncultured bacterium. Its description in RNAcentral is "partial 16S ribosomal RNA". It matches the Rfam family "Bacterial small subunit ribosomal RNA", at positions 355 to 604 of the family's 1533-position model. The record is from RNAcentral.
UGAGGAAUAUUGGUCAAUGGGCGCAAGCCUGAACCAGCCAUCCCGCGUGCAGGAAGACGGCCCUAUGGGUUGUAAACUGCUUUUCCAGGGGGAGAAUUUUUCUGUCGUGACAGGAAUUGACGGUACCCUGGGAAUAAGCAUCGGCUAACUCCGUGCCAGCAGCCGCGGUAAUACGGAGGAUGCGAGCGUUAUCCGGAUUUAUUGGGUUUAAAGGGUGCGUAGGCGGUUUGAUAAGUCAGUGGUGAAAACCUG